Molecule: ribosomal RNA, 468 nt
Filed under: uncultured bacterium
Lineage: Bacteria
Description: partial 16S ribosomal RNA
Rfam family: Bacterial small subunit ribosomal RNA
Source: RNAcentral
GACGAACGCUGGCGGCGUGCUUAACACAUGCAAGUCGAACGGAAAGGCCCUGCUUUUGUGGGGUGCUCGAGUGGCGAACGGGUGAGUAACACGUGAGUAACCUGCCCUUGACUUUGGGAUAACUUCAGGAAACUGGGGCUAAUACCGGAUAGGAGCUCCUGCUGCAUGGUGGUGGUUGGAAAGUUUCGGCGGUUGGGGAUGGACUCGCGGCUUAUCAGCUUGUUGGUGGGGUAGUGGCUUACCAAGGCUUUGACGGGUAGCCGGCCUGAGAGGGUGACCGGCCACAUGGGGACUGAGAUACGGCCCAGACUCCUACGGGAGGCAGCAGUGGGGAAUAUUGCACAAUGGGCGGAAGCCUGAUGCAGCAACGCCGCGUGCGGGAUGACGGCCUUCGGGUUGUAAACCGCUUUCGCCUGUGACGAAGCGUGAGUGACGGUAAUGGGUAAAGAAGCACCGGCUAACUACGUG